CCUACGGGAGGCAGCAGUGGGGAAUAUUGCACAAUGGGGGAAACCCUGAUGCAGCGACGCCGCGUGAGUGAAGAAGUAUUUCGGUACGUAAAGCUCUAUCAGCAGGGAAGAAAAUGACGGUACCUGACUAAGAAGCCCCGGCUAACUACGUGCCAGCAGCCGCGGUAAUACGUAGGGGGCAAGCGUUAUCCGGAUUUACGGGGUGUAAAGGGAGCGUAGACGGCAGCGCAAGUCUGGAGUGAAAUCCCAUGGCUUAACCAUGGAACUGCUUUGGAAACUGUGCAGCUAGAGUGCAGGAGAGGUAAGCGGAAUUCCUAGUGUAGCGGUGAAAUGCGUAGAUAUUAGGAGGAACACCAGUGGCGAAGGCGGCUUACUGGACUGUAACUGACGUUGAGGCUCGAAAGCGUGGGGAGCAAACAGGAUUAGAUACCCCAGUAGUC
This 440-nucleotide ribosomal RNA is filed under the name uncultured bacterium. RNAcentral's name for it is "partial 16S ribosomal RNA". It matches the Rfam family "Bacterial small subunit ribosomal RNA", at positions 338 to 795 of the family's 1533-position model. The record is from RNAcentral.